Molecule: ribosomal RNA, 497 nt
Filed under: uncultured bacterium
Lineage: Bacteria
Description: partial 16S ribosomal RNA
Rfam family: Bacterial small subunit ribosomal RNA
Source: RNAcentral
GAUGAACGCUGGCGGCGUGCCUAAUACAUGCAAGUCGAGCGAACGGACGAGAAGCUUGCUUCUCUGAUGUUAGCGGCGGACGGGUGAGUAACACGUGGAUAACCUACCUAUAAGACUGGGAUAACUUCGGGAAACCGGAGCUAAUACCGGAUAAUAUUUUGAACCGCAUGGUUCAAUAGUGAAAGACGGUUUUGCUGUCACUUAUAGAUGGAUCCGCGCUGCAUUAGCUAGUUGGUAAGGUAACGGCUUACCAAGGCAACGAUGCAUAGCCGACCUGAGAGGGUGAUCGGCCACACUGGAACUGAGACACGGUCCAGACUCCUACGGGAGGCAGCAGUAGGGAAUCUUCCGCAAUGGGCGAAAGCCUGACGGAGCAACGCCGCGUGAGUGAUGAAGGUCUUCGGAUCGUAAAACUCUGUUAUUAGGGAAGAACAUAUGUGUAAGUAACUGUGCACGUCUUGACGGUACCUAAUCAGAAAGCCACGGCUAACUACGUG